CCUACGGGUGGCUGCAGUGGGGAAUAUUGCGCAAUGGGCGAAAGCCUGACCCAGCAACGCCGCGUGAAGGAAGAAGGCUUUCGGGUUGUAAACUUCUUUUCUCAGGGACGAAGCAAGUGACGGUACCUGAGGAAUAAGCCACGGCUAACUACGUGCCAGCAGCCGCGGUAAUACGUAGGUGGCAAGCGUUAUCCGGAUUUACUGGGUGGAAAGGGCGUGUAGGCGGGACUGCAAGUCAGAUGUGAAAACCACGGGCUCAACCUGUGGCCUGCCUUUGAAACUGUAGUGCUUGAGUACUGGAGAGGCAGACGGAAUUCCUAGUGUAGCGGUGAAAGGCGUAGAGAUUAGGAGGAACACCAGUGGCGAAGGCGGUCUGCUGGACAGCAACUGACGCUGAGGCGCGAAAGCGUGGGGAGCAAACAGGAUUAGAUACCCCAGUAGUC
This 443-nucleotide ribosomal RNA is filed under the name uncultured bacterium. Its description in RNAcentral is "partial 16S ribosomal RNA". It matches the Rfam family "Bacterial small subunit ribosomal RNA", at positions 338 to 795 of the family's 1533-position model. The record is from RNAcentral.